CCUCUCAUUCAAAAGGGUCCCCAUCUCCUCUCCUCUCCAUCUCGCUUCCCGAGCUCCGAUCGGCGUCCCCGAGCUCCGAUCGCCUCUCCAUCUCGCUUCCCGAGCUCCGAUCGGCGUCCCCGAGCUCCGAUCGCCUCCCAUCUCGCUUCCCGAGAUGGAAUCGGCGUCCCCGAGCUCCGAUCGGCGUCCCCGAGCUCCGAUCGCUUCCCCAUCUCACUUUCCGAGCUCCGAUCGGCGUCCCGCGCCGACAUUAAUCCAUCGCCUCCCCAUCUCGCUUCCCCGCCACCGUCGACCUCGCCCUCCGGUUCCCUUCUUCUUCUCUCGUUUCUUGCAUUUUUUGCUCUUGGCGCUUCUAGUAUUUUGUGUUGAUUUUUGGGGGUUUUUUCAGACGAUUUCCAAAGGCCAUAAGAACUACGAUCUCAUGUUAAACCUUCAAUUGGGCAUCAGAUACUCUGUUGGGAAGCCAGCUUCGAUGCAGAUGAGAGACCUCAGACCAGCAGAUUUCGACCCAAGGGAGAAGUUUUGGACGAGGUUUCCUCCCGAGGGAUCCAAGAUUACUCCACCCCACCAGUCUGUCGAGUUUCGGUGGAAGGAUUAUUGCCCCAUGGUCUUCAGACACUUGAGAAAGUUGUUUUCUGUGGAUCCGGCUGAUUAUAUGGUCGCUAUCUGUGGGGAUGACGCAUUGAGGGAACUGUCUUCGCCUGGGAAGAGUGGGAGUUUCUUCUACCUGACCCAGGAUGACAGGUUCAUGAUCAAGACAGUGAAAAAAUCUGAAGUAAAGAUCUGAUAAAUGAAGAUCACCUGGAACACCUGGAAGAUUCACAUACGCUGAUGAAAGAUCAAAACAAACUAUUCCAGAAGCCGUUCCUGAUGGUGCAGUUGUGCUUGGUACUCCUGUUGCCAUGCUGCAGGGACCAAGCUAUCCAUCAUCACUUGGCACUUGACAAAAGUUGUUGACAUCAAACAUAAACAAGAAUACCGAUCGCUGCUACAAUGAAACAGUGAACAGAAAGGAAAGAGAGAGGACAAUCCAUUGCACCAGAAGAAAACCAAUCGAAAGAAAGGAAGGUGGAGAAGGAAUCAAUCCAGCAAGAGAUAAUUAAGAAUCCUCCAUGCUGUUGCUAACUGCACCGACAGGAAGUAGAUCAGCAGGAGCAGGAGGUGGAGGAGGAGGAGACCAAAUGGAGGCUGAGGUGAGCCUCUGAGACCAAAUGGAAUCAAUCCAGCAAGAGAUAAUUAAGAAUCCUCCAGCUUGUUAGGCCCGUCCUCCUCCACCCGGUACCCGUCAUUGAAGAGCCCCAGCAGCAGCCUGGCCUGGAAGUGGUUGAAACAACUGAUACCAACUCUUCCGAAUCCCCUCCCAGUCAUUGAAAUGCCAUGCUGCAGGGACCAAGGUAGUCUAUCAGUGAGGAUAUGAAUGUCUUAUGACUGCUCUGGUUUUGUUUUAGCUUAUUGUUGGUUGAAGCCUCGGCAGCAGAGGCUGAGGCAAUUAGUUUUUUUUUAAAAAACAGGUGGCUAACGCCGACGCUUAUAAGCGUCGGCUUUGAGUCUUUUAGCGACGCUUUUAAACGUCGCUAAAACGCGUCGUUCAAAACUGAGCUUUUAGCGACGCUUAUAAGCGUCGGCUUUGAGUCUUUUAGCGACGCUUUGAUUAGCGUCGGGAAAGUCUUGUUUUUGCCGACGCUUUCUCUUAGCGUCGGCAAAAAUCGGACCCACGCCCACCUGCCCGACGUCUGAUCCACGCUUUGGGGAGCGUUGGCUGGAAUUUUGCCGACGCUUAAAAGCGUCGGUAGAGACCAAUAAAAGCGCCGGUAAAAGUCACUAUUCCUGUAGUGCAGCAGGAUGCAUAUAAAUGUUUGUAGAAAUAAAUGUAUAUAUGUGUGCAAAAUUGCUAUAGGUGCAUGCAAACAACAUGUGAGGGCCCAGUCGAUUGACCGGCUUGCACUUGCCUUAGGCCUGAGAGCCGACCCUAAGAGGUCAGGCCCAAGGCCAGUGUGCCCUGUGGCGAUGCAGGAAGUCCUCCUCCGCUUCCGGCAGAAAUCGGGCACUCUCAAAACAACCCGAGUUCUUCUAGAACUCGAAGGCUUCGCAUAUUUAACUUUCCUCCUCCUUAGAUUUCCUUCAUCGGAAUCAUCAAGAAUAUCCGCCGAUUCCAAGCCCUCUUUCCAAGCUUGUUUCCUCAAUUCCUCACUAAAAAGGGUUGUCGGAGGCUUCGCCGAACCAAAGUAAAUGUUCCUCGUCUUGCUCCUCUUCCUUUCCUAGUGAUUUAGCAAACUUUGCUUGAGUUUUAGCCGGCAAAUAACCGAAAUUGGAUCCAAAACAGGAUGCCCUAUUUCGGCUCCCUUCUUUCGAUCAUGUCGCCGCUGCUGGCCGCCCUCCGCCUCAUGUCUCCAUCUCCGGCCGCCACCUCACUGGACCACCAAGUCCACAACCACCAGCCACCUCCUUCUUCCUCUGUUU
Molecule: non-coding RNA, 2460 nt
Organism: Phoenix dactylifera (date palm)
Lineage: Eukaryota; Viridiplantae; Streptophyta; Magnoliopsida; Arecales; Arecaceae
Source: RefSeq, a predicted model, not a curated record